Molecule: long non-coding RNA, 343 nt
Filed under: Setaria viridis
Lineage: Eukaryota; Viridiplantae; Streptophyta; Magnoliopsida; Poales; Poaceae
Description: long non-coding RNA (SVIR_LNC001055)
Source: RNAcentral
GGGAUCGGCCGAUUGGAAGGUUGGAGCAGCUGGGCCAAUAUGGGCUUAAGGUGGGCAAGAAAGGAAGAUAGAGAAAGAUUGGCCCGUGGGAAUAUGGUAACCAACUCCGAUAUGAGUUGUGCUUGUAAAUAUUUAUUUUCGUUUAAGAUUAGAGAUAGACCCUGGUCGGUUAGGAAAUCAGUUGUAAUAGGCUAUAAAUAGCCAUCUCUAGAGAUUUGUAAAACAACACAUCAAUCAAUACAAACAAUCUAUUUUUUCAUCGUACUUUACUUUCAAGUCGGUGACUUCGCCAAUACUUCUUUUUCUUUCACGAGUUCGUACGGGUUGGCAGGGCUGCAUCGAC